This 955-nucleotide ribosomal RNA is filed under the name Arthrobacter sp. Tianshan46-5. Its description in RNAcentral is "bacterial SSU rRNA". It matches the Rfam family "Bacterial small subunit ribosomal RNA", at positions 559 to 1505 of the family's 1533-position model. Lineage: Bacteria; Bacillati; Actinomycetota; Actinomycetes; Micrococcales; Micrococcaceae. The record is from RNAcentral.
CGUAAAGAGCUCGUAGGCGGUUUGUCGCGUCUGCCGUGAAAGUCCGGGGCUCAACCCCGGAUCUGCGGUGGGUACGGGCAGACUAGAGUGAUGUAGGGGAGACUGGAAUUCCUGGUGUAGCGGUGAAAUGCGCAGAUAUCAGGAGGAACACCGAUGGCGAAGGCAGGUCUCUGGGCAUUAACUGACGCUGAGGAGCGAAAGCAUGGGGAGCGAACAGGAUUAGAUACCCUGGUAGUCCAUGCCGUAAACGUUGGGCACUAGGUGUGGGGGACAUUCCACGUUUUCCGCGCCGUAGCUAACGCAUUAAGUGCCCCGCCUGGGGAGUACGGCCGCAAGGCUAAAACUCAAAGGAAUUGACGGGGGCCCGCACAAGCGGCGGAGCAUGCGGAUUAAUUCGAUGCAACGCGAAGAACCUUACCAAGGCUUGACAUGAACCGGUAAUACCUGGAAACAGGUGCCCCACUUUGUGGUCGGUUUACAGGUGGUGCAUGGUUGUCGUCAGCUCGUGUCGUGAGAUGUUGGGUUAAGUCCCGCAACGAGCGCAACCCUCGUUCUAUGUUGCCAGCACGUGAUGGUGGGGACUCAUAGGAGACUGCCGGGGUCAACUCGGAGGAAGGUGAGGACGACGUCAAAUCAUCAUGCCCCUUAUGUCUUGGGCUUCACGCAUGCUACAAUGGCCGGUACAAUGGGUUGCGAUACUGUGAGGUGGAGCUAAUCCCAAAAAGCCGGUCUCAGUUCGGAUUGGGGUCUGCAACUCGACCCCAUGAAGUCGGAGUCGCUAGUAAUCGCAGAUCAGCAACGCUGCGGUGAAUACGUUCCCGGGCCUUGUACACACCGCCCGUCAAGUCACGAAAGUUGGUCAACACCCGAAGCCCAUGGCCCAACCCCUUUUGGGGAGGGAGUGGUCGAAGGUGGGACUGGCGAUUGGGACUAASUCGUAACAAGGUAACCGUAA